Long non-coding RNA from Ailuropoda melanoleuca (giant panda), 767 nucleotides. RefSeq lists it as uncharacterized. The record is from RefSeq and is a predicted model, not a curated record. The transcript is spliced from 4 exons. Lineage: Eukaryota; Metazoa; Chordata; Mammalia; Carnivora; Ursidae.
CUCUGGCCCAAAGAGUCUGCUUUUGGUUCCUAGCAGUGAUGGGCAGGAAUAAAGAAGGUUAGAACAAAAGAAGUAAACCCUGCCAAUGCCAGGCUUUCACCAAAGCGGAGCUAACCAGUCUACAAGAUGACUCCCACGCUGUAGUUGCUGGAGGCAGCCUGUUCAAAAAACACCAUCAUGGUGGAGAUGGUUGAUUGAUUCUUCUUUGUAUCACCUGUAAUACCGACAUCUUUCCUACAGACCAAUGGCCUACAAAAUGUCUUAUAUACAGGUCCAAAUGGUAAAGGGCAUGCAGAUGAGUUAGAGGGAGGAUACAAUGCACAAGAAAAGGUCCUUGGUGUCCUGAGGGGACUGUUCCUCCCAGCUGCCUACUUGAGUGGUCUACAUACACAUCUUCGGCCCCCAAAUGAGACCUAUGUGGAAAAGGACGACAUUGAGCAAAGGGCAUAGGUGGCAACUCCCUCACCCUGCAGCACAUCAUCUGUUACUCUCAGCUCAAAGGUUUAAAGAGAGCAAGAAGAUUUACCUCAGAGGGCUGGCGUCUCUGUCACCAUCCCCAGCUCCAUUUCAGAGAGGGAUGUGCAGAAGAGAGAAGAGGAGGUGGCUGUCACUCUGAAGCAAGAUAAUACAUAAGAAAUUAAAUGGUAGUGAAUGAGUAAUGCUAAAGGAUAGAAAAAGUUGUAGAGAAGCGGAGAGAAGCCCAGGAGCUAAGCCAGCAGCAGACGAGAUGCCCACCAAUGCUGGAUAAUUUAUUCUGGAAACAGGCC